This 440-nucleotide ribosomal RNA is filed under the name uncultured bacterium. RNAcentral's name for it is "partial 16S ribosomal RNA". It matches the Rfam family "Bacterial small subunit ribosomal RNA", at positions 338 to 795 of the family's 1533-position model. The record is from RNAcentral.
CCUACGGGUGGCAGCAGUGGGGAAUAUUGCACAAUGGGGGAAACCCUGAUCCAGCCACGCCGCGUGAGUGAAGAAGUAAUUCGUUAUGUAAAGCUCUAUCAGCAGGGGAGAAAAUGACGGUACCUGAGCAAGAAGCCCCGGCUAACUAGGUGCCAGCAGCCGCGGUAAUACGUCGGCGGCAAGCGUUAUCCGGAUUUACUGGGUGUAAAGGGAGCGUAGGCGGCAUAGCAAGUCUGGAGUGAAAGGCGGGGGCUCAACCCCCGGACUGCUGUGGAAACUGUAAGGCUGGAGUGCAGGAGAGGUAAGUGGAAUGCGUGGUGUAGCGGUGAAAUGCGUAGAUAUCAGGAAGAACACCAGUGGCGAAGGCGGCUUACUGGACUGUAACUGACGUUGAGGCUCGAAAGCGUGGGGAGCAAACAGGAUUAGAUACCCUGGUAGUC